AAAGCUGGCGUCUUCGGCGUCCGCAUUGUAAUCUCAAGAAGUGUUUUCCGCUUCGGACCAUGCCUAAGUCCCUUGGAAAAGGGCAUCAUAGAGGGUGAUAAUCCCGUACAUGGCAUGGAGCGCCCGAAGCUUUGUGAUACGCUUUCUAAGAGUCGAGUUGUUUGGGAAUGCAGCUCAAAAUGGGUGGUAAAUGCCAUCUAAGGCUAAAUAUUGGGGAGAGACCGAUAGCGAACAAGUACAGUGAUGGAAAGAUGAAAAGAACUUUGAAAAGAGAGUUAAACAGUACGUGAAAUUGCCAAAAGGGAAGGGUAGGAGGUCAGAGAUGCGGCCUGGGAUUCAGCCUUGCUUUUGCUUGGUGUUUUUCCCAGAUUGCAGGCCAACGUCGGUUUUGGGCACUGGAGAAGGGUAGGAGGAACGUGGCACCUCUCGGGGUGUGUUAUAGCCUCCUACUGGAUACAGCGACCGAGACCGAGGACAGCAGCGUACUCGCAAGAGCGGGCCUUCGGGCACCUUUACGCUUAGGGCGUUGGCAUAAUGGCCCUCUACCAC
Molecule: ribosomal RNA, 549 nt
Filed under: Dirkmeia churashimaensis
Lineage: Eukaryota; Fungi; Basidiomycota; Ustilaginomycetes; Ustilaginales; Ustilaginaceae
Description: partial large subunit ribosomal RNA
Rfam family: Eukaryotic large subunit ribosomal RNA
Source: RNAcentral